Molecule: ribosomal RNA, 301 nt
Filed under: uncultured bacterium
Lineage: Bacteria
Description: partial 16S ribosomal RNA
Rfam family: Bacterial small subunit ribosomal RNA
Source: RNAcentral
CAGUAGCCGCGGUAAUACGAAGGGGGCUAGCGUUGUUCGGAUUUACUGUGCGUAAAGCGCACGUAGGCGGACUUUUAAGUCAGGGGUGAAAUCCCGGGGCUCAACCCCGGAACUGCCUUUGAUACUGGAAGUCUUGAGUAUGGUAGAGGUGAGUGGAAUUCCGAGUGUAGAGGUGAAAUUCGUAGAUAUUCGGAGGAACACCAGUGGCGAAGGCGGCUCACUGGACCAUUACUGACGCUGAGGUGCGAAAGCGUGGGGAGCAAACAGGAUUAGAUACCCGUGUAGUCCCUGUCUCUUAUAA